This 735-nucleotide long non-coding RNA is filed under the name Ananas comosus (pineapple). RNAcentral's name for it is "long non-coding RNA (ACOM_LNC028788)". Lineage: Eukaryota; Viridiplantae; Streptophyta; Magnoliopsida; Poales; Bromeliaceae. The record is from RNAcentral.
ACGGAGAGAAUUGACUUUGUGUAUGGCAGUUAUACUAUGUCAACUAUAUUCAGUCAAUUAAAUAUUUAAUUUUAAUUAAAAAUAUAUAAUAAAAAAAUAAUUAUUUAUAAUUUAUGAUCAAUUGGAUAAAUUUUAGUUCGAAUUGUGAUUGAUUGAACUCAUUGUUUAGAAUAAAUGACCGGUAUUAGAAUAAUUAUUUAUAAAUUUUCGACCGUGGGAGAGAGCGCAUCCUCUAGAAAAUUCUUUCUAGGGUGCAACCGUGAUUCCCACGUCUAAACGAAAGCUACUUCAUGUUGUUGUUGUUGUUGUUAUUAGUUGGGAUAGAAUGCUAUCAGUAACAAACGAAUUUCGUUGCUAUCAAUUUAUUUUUAAUAAUAAAGUUUAUGAAUUGAUGAUUGGUAUUAUUGGACAUUAUUUAGACUAUAACUUUGUCACUGAUGUUUUUUUCUCCGUUAAUAUUUCGUUAAAUUAUAUACAAAAAAUUCAAAUACUCUAUUUAUGUUUAUCAAAUAUUCACUUUAGUACCACUUAAUUUUAACUUUGUCACUGAUUUAACGAAAAAAAUUAACGAGAUGGAUAAUAAAAAGAGAAAAAUGAAAUCACAUGAUACUAACACGAUACACUUUAAAACACAGGGUACUAAAGUGAGAAAGUGCGAAACCAUAGGGGCUAACUUGAUUUAUUUUAAACCACAGGGUAUUGAAGUAAGAAAUUGUGAAACUAUAGGAGGGUAUU